ACAUGCAGUCGAGCGAGCAGAUAAGGAGCUUGCUCCUUUGACGUUAGCGGCGGACGGGUGAGUAACACGUGGGUAACCUACCUAUAAGACUGGGAUAACUUCGGGAAACCGGAGCUAAUACCGGAUAACAUUUGGAACCGCAUGGUUCUAAAGUGAAAGAUGGUUUUGCUAUCACUUAUAGAUGGACCCGCGCCGUAUUAGCUAGUUGGUAAGGUAACGGCUUACCAAGGCGACGAUACGUAGCCGACCUGAGAGGGUGAUCGGCCACACUGGAACUGAGACACGGUCCAGACUCCUACGGGAGGCAGCAGUAGGGAAUCUUCCGCAAUGGGCGAAAGCCUGACGGAGCAACGCCGCGUGAGUGAUGAAGGGUUUCGGCUCGUAAACUCUGUUAUUAGGGAAGAACAAACGUGUAAGUAACUGUGCACGUCUUGACGGUACCUAAUCAGAAAGCCACGGCUAACUACGUGCCAGCAGCCGCGGUAAUACGUAGGUGGCAAGCGUUAUCCGGAAUUAUUGGGCGUAAAGCGCGCGUAGGCGGUUUCUUAAGUCUGAUGUGAAAGCCCACGGCUCAUCCGUGGAGGGUCAUUGGAAACUGGGGAAACUUGAGUGCAG
RNAcentral lists this ribosomal RNA (615 nucleotides) under Staphylococcus sp. Its description in RNAcentral is "bacterial SSU rRNA". It matches the Rfam family "Bacterial small subunit ribosomal RNA", at positions 53 to 651 of the family's 1533-position model. The record is from RNAcentral. Lineage: Bacteria; Bacillati; Bacillota; Bacilli; Caryophanales; Staphylococcaceae.